This 155-nucleotide unclassified non-coding RNA is filed under the name soil metagenome. RNAcentral's name for it is "partial internal transcribed spacer 1". The record is from RNAcentral.
CAAGUGACCCCGGUUUACCACCGGGAUGUUCAUAACCCUUUGUUGUCCGACUCUGUUGCCUCCGGGGCGACCCUGCCUUCGGGCGGGGGCUCCGGGUGGACACUUCAAAACUCUUGCGUAACUUUGCAGUCUGAGUAAACUUAAUUAAUAAAUUA